Molecule: ribosomal RNA, 279 nt
Filed under: uncultured bacterium
Lineage: Bacteria
Description: partial 16S ribosomal RNA
Rfam family: Bacterial small subunit ribosomal RNA
Source: RNAcentral
UGCCAGCCGCCGCGGUAACACGGGGGGCGCAAGCGUUAUUCGGAAUUAUUGGGCGUAAAGGGCGCGCAGGCGGUCUUGUCAGUCAGGUGUGAAAGCCCGGGGCUCAACCCCGGAUGGUCACUUGAAACAGCAAGACUUGAGUACGGGAGAGGAGAGAGGAAUUCCUGGUGUAGAGGUGAAAUACGUAGAUAUCUGGAAGAACACCAGAGGCGAAGGCGGUCUCUUGGUCCGAAACUGACGCUGAGGCGCGAAAGCGCGGGGAGCAAACAGGAUUAGAUA